RNAcentral lists this long non-coding RNA (267 nucleotides) under Homo sapiens (human). Its description in RNAcentral is "non-protein coding lnc-MSN-1:5". The record is from RNAcentral. Lineage: Eukaryota; Metazoa; Chordata; Mammalia; Primates; Hominidae.
CCAAGUUGCAAGAUACCACUGCUUCUUUUAAGAGUGAUGGGUUUCCCAGGUGAUACUUGAAAGAAGAGAUAACGACCACCUAUCUCCUUCAUCCUGGUUACACAGGAAGGCUAUGGACUCCUUUUGGCAUUUCUGCCUCAGCAACAGAGGAUAAAAGUCAUGUUGUGAUGGAUAAGUCACAAAAGUAAAAAAUACAGACGUGGACUACAGGCCUCCAAAGAAGAAUUGAGCAUGCUGAGGAUCGAUGCCAGACAUUGGACAUUUUUG